UGGGGAAUAUUGGACAAUGGGCGCAAGCCUGAUCCAGCCAUGCCGCGUGAGUGAUGAAGGCCCUAGGGUUGUAAAGCUCUUUCACCGGUGAAGAUAAUGACGGUAACCGGAGAAGAAGCCCCGGCUAACUUCGUGCCAGCAGCCGCGGUAAUACGAAGGGGGCUAGCGUUGUUCGGAGUUACUGGGCGUAAAGCGCACGUAGGCGGACUUUUAAGUCAGGGGUGAAAUCCCGGGGCUCAACCCCGGAACUGCCUUUGAUACUGGAAGUCUUGAGUAUGGUAGAGGUGAGUGGAAUUCCGGGUGUAGAGGUGAAAUUCGUAGAUCUUCGGAGGAACACCAGUGGCGAAGGCGGCUCACUGGACCAUUACUGACGCUGAGGUGCGAGAGCGUGGGGAGCAAACAGG
Molecule: ribosomal RNA, 404 nt
Filed under: Actinomycetes bacterium
Lineage: Bacteria; Bacillati; Actinomycetota; Actinomycetes
Description: Actinobacteria bacterium partial 16S ribosomal RNA
Rfam family: Bacterial small subunit ribosomal RNA
Source: RNAcentral